UAGGGAAAUCUUCGGCAAUGGACGGAAGUCUGACCGAGCAACGCCGCGUGAGUGAAGAAGGUUUUCGGAUCGUAAAGCUCUGUUGUAAGAGAAGAACGAGUGUGAGAGUGGAAAGUUCACACUGUGACGGUAUCUUACCAGAAAGGGACGGCUAACUACGUGCCAGCAGCCGCGGUAAUACGUAGGUCCCGAGCGUUGUCCGGAUUUAUUGGGCGUAAAGCGAGCGCAGGCGGUUAGAUAAGUCUGAAGUUAAAGGCUGUGGCUUAACCAUAGUACGCUUUGGAAACUGUUUAACUUGAGUGCAAGAGGGGAGAGUGGAAUUCCAUGUGUAGCGGUGAAAUGCGUAGAUAUAUGGAGGAACACCGGUGGCGAAAGCGGCUCUCUGGCUUGUAACUGACGCUGAGGCUCGAAAGCGUGGGGAGCAAACAGGAUUAGAUACCCUGGUAGUCCACGCCGUAAACGAUGAGUGCUAGGUGUUAGACCCUUUCCGGGGUUUAGUGCCGUAGCUAACGCAUUAAGCACUCCGCCUGGGGAGUACGACCGCAAGGUUGA
Molecule: ribosomal RNA, 552 nt
Filed under: uncultured bacterium
Lineage: Bacteria
Description: bacterial SSU rRNA
Rfam family: Bacterial small subunit ribosomal RNA
Source: RNAcentral